RNAcentral lists this ribosomal RNA (511 nucleotides) under uncultured bacterium. RNAcentral describes it as "bacterial SSU rRNA". It matches the Rfam family "Bacterial small subunit ribosomal RNA", at positions 791 to 1304 of the family's 1533-position model. The record is from RNAcentral.
UAGUCCACGCUGUAAACGAUGAGUGCUAAAAGUGGGUUAUUUUAUCUGCUUUAUAGCUAACGCGUUAAGCACUCCGCCUGGGGACUACGGUCGCAAGACUAAAACUCAAAGGAAUUGACGGGGACUCGCACAAGCGGUGGAGUAUGUGGUUUAAUUCGAUGCAACGCGAAAAACCUUACCACACCUUGACAUAUGGAUCGUAUCCUUCUGAACGGAAGGAGUCAGCUUGGCUGGAUCCGAUACAGGUGUUGCAUGGCCGUCGUCAGCUCGUGUCGUGAGAUGUUGGGUUAAGUCCCGCAACGAGCGCAACCCCUAUUUCUAGUUGCCAGCAUGUAAUGAUGGGGACUCUAGAAAAACUGCCCGCGCAAGCGGUGAGGAAGGUGGGGACGACGUCAGGUCAUCACGGCCCUUACGUCCAGGGCUACACACGUGCUACAAUGGUAGGGACAGAGGGCAGCCACCCGGUGACGGGGAGCUAAUCCUAAAACCCUAUCUCAGUUCGGAUUGAAGU